CUCCCGAACCUCCACGUCGUACGCCUCUCGCUCCGCCGCCAGGUCCGGGUACUCCUCUCGCUUGGUCUUGUUGAGCCUGUUGACGAUCUCGUUCUGGCGCUUCUCCACCUUGAUCCUGCGCACCAGCUUCAGGUCGUGGUACCCGACCUGACCCACCUCCAUCCGGGGAAGUUUCUUCAGGUUGGCCCACGGCGUGUACACGAUCCAGACGUUGUUCUCCUUGUUGCCCUGGAUGCUGUUCGCCUUGACGAGCUGCGCGCAAUCCUCGAGCUCCUCCUCGGUGAGGUCGUCCCACGUCUGGCCCUUCUUGACGCGCAUGUAGACG
This 325-nucleotide long non-coding RNA is filed under the name Micromonas commoda. Its description in RNAcentral is "long non-coding RNA (MCOM_LNC000139)". Lineage: Eukaryota; Viridiplantae; Chlorophyta; Mamiellophyceae; Mamiellales; Mamiellaceae. The record is from RNAcentral.